GCGUCAUUGGCUCAGGGGUUAAGCACUUGACUUGCAAUCUGCAGAUCCUGGGUUCGAAUCCCGGCAUGAACCA
Non-coding RNA from Papilio machaon (common yellow swallowtail), 73 nucleotides. The record is from Rfam. Lineage: Eukaryota; Metazoa; Arthropoda; Insecta; Lepidoptera; Papilionidae.